UCUCCCUGAAGGAAGUAUUAUAAACCCCAUCUGUGUUUUAGACAUGAGAAACCUGAGAUUUGAGCAAAUGUAAUGAGCGAAUUCCAUCUAUCAUUCUAGGUCUAGUGUUGGAUGAUGUUCCUGCCGUACUAUGCAAACUGGUCACAGGCAUCUCUUCACUUGUCGGUAGACACAUUUAGGAGCCAGACACCAAGGAUUGGCUAAAGACACAGAGCUAACUAUGAAGAGGAGCUUGGAGCUCGUGUCCUGCUGGAGGGAGGAACUGGCACGUGGACGAAGUGAUAACACAGGGAACCCAUCUUACCACAUACAGAUCUUCCUAGAAGAAUAUGCUGAUAAGAAGUACCAAUCCAAGUGGCGACGUCUCCAGCACUCUCCCAGGACCCUUGCAGAACACCUUUCCUUAUCAGCUCCUCUCCCUCUGACCUUGUCUACCACUCGGCAGUAGAAGUUCUCUUCACUUCAUGUAUCAGAUGCCCUUUCAACUAGAUUCCACUGAUACAAUCCCUGCAAUUUCCAUAACUGUCUUGAAAGCAGUGCAUUAAACUGAAAAUCAGACAAUGAAGUUGAAACUGACCUGCCUUCAAACAAUAGUGCUGUAAUGCACGCUUCCUCUGACCCUGGUGUGUUAUGUAAGUCUCUCUGCCUAUGCCUUCUGUGGUGAAAAGGUCCUUUUAGAAGGCUUGUACGGAGCAUUAUACAUGGAGUGUCUGGAAUCUAAUACGCACUCAACAAAUGCUCAUCCAAACCCUUGACUCGCCAGUCAAUUAAUCCACACGGAAGAAAGAAAAGCAAAUGAAAAUCUUUGGGGACAUAUUUUUUGUUUAAUUGUCUGCAGGGCUAAUUGUUCUGAAGUUUCCUUAUUUCCAUUGUGUAUUUUACCUGGAGAUAUACAGAAGUGAGGACUUUCCCCCCAGUUAGGUGCCAGGAGGUUUGUGAAGAUAACAACAAAUUAUAUGAGAACUUUUAAGAUGUGGCUGACUGAGAAGGAAUAAUUGUUGAUUUCUAGAUUGGUUAUUUACCUUUUGUGGCUGGUUGUUUCAAUUAAUUCACCAGUUUUAUUCAAUUAUUUGAUUCCAAAGAGUGGUUCUAAAUUAAAAACAACCAUCUUGCCUAAAAUUGUCCUUGGACAUUGAGGGCCUAACACCUUCUGGUUAUGGUUGUGUACAUGGCUGAUAUCCCAGGUACCCUUUGCCUGGUGCUCUCUCAAGUGUAAGCCUUGAUGGUUUUGCAGGCCUGAGCACCCUUUUAUCUCCAUUUUCUCAGCUGUUGCUGAUGAGUACAGAAGUUUAGUUAUUUGGCUCACGCCUGUAAUCCCAGCACUUUGGGAGGCCAACGCGGGUGGAUCACGAGGUUAGGAGUUCGAGACCAGCCUGGCCAACAUAGUGAAACCCCAUCUCUAGUAAAACUACAAAGAUAAGCCGGGCGUUGUGGCGGGCGCCUGUAAUACCAGCUACUCAGGAGGCUGAGGCAGGAGAAUUGCCUGAACCUGGGAGGCGGAGGUUGCAGUGAGCCCAGAUUGUGCCGCCACACUCCAGCCUGGGCCACAGAGUGAGACUCCGUCUCAAAAAAAAAAAAAAAAAAGGAAGUGGAUACAUAAUUUUUGCUGGCUAGGUCAUGCCUGUCUCUGCAAACAUGCAGCUAUUACAAGAUCUAGAUAUGUGAUUAGAUAUGAAAAGACCACCCCAAACAAUGGACUGUCAUACAAUCCAUAAAGGGUGCUUUAUUCAUUUUUUCCCCUUUAAUUUAACAGGAGGAGAAAAGAGCUAUGGUAGGAAUUAACUGUAAAAGUAGCUGCAAAAUAGCCAAGAUUCAGGCUAUAUAAAAUUUGCUGCAAAGAAAACCAAAAUACAGGCUGUAUAAGUAGUAACCCAGUUGUUCUACCCCAUAUGUGGGACACAAAGAGUUUGGAAGGCAAAACGUUAGAUACCUAACUCUGAAAGACAGUUCUAUGACUAUUUAGAAAAAGAUGUGUUUUUUUCUGCACUGUCUUUGCUCCUCCAACUUUUCUAAAAACUAUAAAUAUGAAUCAUUUUAUCUUGAAAACAUGCAUAUUGGUUAAAUCAAACAUCAAUAAAUCAUAAAUCCUGUCAGCCUGCCCCA
This 2103-nucleotide long non-coding RNA is filed under the name Piliocolobus tephrosceles (Ugandan red Colobus). Its description in RNAcentral is "lncRNA (ENSPTEG00000004600.1)". The record is from RNAcentral. Lineage: Eukaryota; Metazoa; Chordata; Mammalia; Primates; Cercopithecidae.